Molecule: ribosomal RNA, 253 nt
Filed under: uncultured bacterium
Lineage: Bacteria
Description: partial 16S ribosomal RNA
Rfam family: Bacterial small subunit ribosomal RNA
Source: RNAcentral
UACGUAGGGGGCAAGCGUUGUCCGGAAUCAUUGGGCGUAAAGCGCGCGUAGGCGGCUCGAUCAGUCUGCUGUAAAAGUCAAAGGCUCAACCUUUGAAUGCCGGUGGAUACUGUCGGGCUAGGGUCCGGAAGAGGCGAGUGGAAUUCCUGGUGUAGCGGUGGAAUGCGCAGAUAUCAGGAGGAACACCAACGGCGAAGGCAGCUCGCUGGGACGGUACUGACGCUAAGGCGCGAAAGCGUGGGGAGCGAACAGG